RNAcentral lists this ribosomal RNA (2758 nucleotides) under Klebsiella pneumoniae. RNAcentral's name for it is "bacterial LSU rRNA". It matches the Rfam family "Bacterial large subunit ribosomal RNA". Lineage: Bacteria; Pseudomonadati; Pseudomonadota; Gammaproteobacteria; Enterobacterales; Enterobacteriaceae. The record is from RNAcentral.
CACUAUCGUUAACUGAAUACAUAGGUUAACGAGGCGAACCGGGGGAACUGAAACAUCUAAGUACCCCGAGGAAAAGAAAUCAACCGAGAUUCCCCCAGUAGCGGCGAGCGAACGGGGAGCAGCCCAGAGUCUGAAUCAGCUUGUGUGUUAGUGGAACGGUCUGGAAAGUCCGACGGUACAGGGUGAUAGUCCCGUACACCAAAAUGCACAGGUUGUGAACUCGAAGAGUAGGGCGGGACACGUGGUAUCCUGUCUGAAUAUGGGGGGACCAUCCUCCAAGGCUAAAUACUCCUGACUGACCGAUAGUGAACCAGUACCGUGAGGGAAAGGCGAAAAGAACCCCGGCGAGGGGAGUGAAAAAGAACCUGAAACCGUGUACGUACAAGCAGUGGGAGCACCUUCGGGUGUGACUGCGUACCUUUUGUAUAAUGGGUCAGCGACUUAUAUUCUGUAGCAAGGUUAACCGUAUAGGGGAGCCGCAGGGAAACCGAGUCUUAACUGGGCGUUAAGUUGCAGGGUAUAGACCCGAAACCCGGUGAUCUAGCCAUGGGCAGGUUGAAGGUUGGGUAACACUAACUGGAGGACCGAACCGACUAAUGUUGAAAAAUUAGCGGAUGACUUGUGGCUGGGGGUGAAAGGCCAAUCAAACCGGGAGAUAGCUGGUUCUCCCCGAAAGCUAUUUAGGUAGCGCCUCGUGAAUUCAUCUUCGGGGGUAGAGCACUGUUUCGGCUAGGGGGUCAUCCCGACUUACCAACCCGAUGCAAACUACGAAUACCGAAGAAUGUUAUCACGGGAGACACACGGCGGGUGCUAACGUCCGUCGUGAAGAGGGAAACAACCCAGACCGCCAGCUAAGGUCCCAAAGUCAUGGUUAAGUGGGAAACGAUGUGGGAAGGCACAGACAGCCAGGAUGUUGGCUUAGAAGCAGCCAUCAUUUAAAGAAAGCGUAAUAGCUCACUGGUCGAGUCGGCCUGCGCGGAAGAUGUAACGGGGCUAAACCAUGCACCGAAGCUGCGGCAGCGACACUAUGUGUUGUUGGGUAGGGGAGCGUUCUGUAAGCCUGCGAAGGUGUGCUGUGAGGCAUGCUGGAGGUAUCAGAAGUGCGAAUGCUGACAUAAGUAACGAUAAAGCGGGUGAAAAGCCCGCUCGCCGGAAGACCAAGGGUUCCUGUCCAACGUUAAUCGGGGCAGGGUGAGUCGACCCCUAAGGCGAGGCCGAAAGGCGUAGUCGAUGGGAAACAGGUUAAUAUUCCUGUACUUGGUGUUACUGCGAAGGGGGGACGGAGAAGGCUAUGUUAGCCGGGCGACGGUUGUCCCGGUUUAAGCAUGUAGGCUGGUUGUCCAGGCAAAUCCGGAUAAUCAAGGCUGAGGUGUGAUGACGAGGCACUACGGUGCUGAAGUAACAAAUGCCCUGCUUCCAGGAAAAGCCUCUAAGCAUCAGGUAACAUUAAAUCGUACCCCAAACCGACACAGGUGGUCAGGUAGAGAAUACCAAGGCGCUUGAGAGAACUCGGGUGAAGGAACUAGGCAAAAUGGUGCCGUAACUUCGGGAGAAGGCACGCUGGUGUGUAGGUGAAGUCCCUGCGGAUGGAGCUGAGACCAGUCGAAGAUACCAGCUGGCUGCAACUGUUUAUUAAAAACACAGCACUGUGCAAACACGAAAGUGGACGUAUACGGUGUGACGCCUGCCCGGUGCCGGAAGGUUAAUUGAUGGGGUUAUCCGUAAGGAGAAGCUCUUGAUCGAAGCCCCGGUAAACGGCGGCCGUAACUAUAACGGUCCUAAGGUAGCGAAAUUCCUUGUCGGGUAAGUUCCGACCUGCACGAAUGGCGUAAUGAUGGCCAGGCUGUCUCCACCCGAGACUCAGUGAAAUUGAACUCGCUGUGAAGAUGCAGUGUACCCGCGGCAAGACGGAAAGACCCCGUGAACCUUUACUAUAGCUUGACACUGAACAUUGAGCCUUGAUGUGUAGGAUAGGUGGGAGGCUUUGAAGCGUGGACGCCAGUCUGCGUGGAGCCAACCUUGAAAUACCACCCUUUAAUGUUUGAUGUUCUAACGUUGGCCCCUUACCGGGGUUGCGGACAGUGUCUGGUGGGUAGUUUGACUGGGGCGGUCUCCUCCCAAAGCGUAACGGAGGAGCACGAAGGUUAGCUAAUCCUGGUCGGACAUCAGGAGGUUAGUGCAAUGGCAUAAGCUAGCUUGACUGCGAGCGUGACGGCGCGAGCAGGUGCGAAAGCAGGUCAUAGUGAUCCGGUGGUUCUGAAUGGAAGGGCCAUCGCUCAACGGAUAAAAGGUACUCCGGGGAUAACAGGCUGAUACCGCCCAAGAGUUCAUAUCGACGGCGGUGUUUGGCACCUCGAUGUCGGCUCAUCACAUCCUGGGGCUGAAGUAGGUCCCAAGGGUAUGGCUGUUCGCCAUUUAAAGUGGUACGCGAGCUGGGUUUAGAACGUCGUGAGACAGUUCGGUCCCUAUCUGCCGUGGGCGCUGGAGAAUUGAGGGGGGCUGCUCCUAGUACGAGAGGACCGGAGUGGACGCAUCACUGGUGUUCGGGUUGUCAUGCCAAUGGCACUGCCCGGUAGCUAAAUGCGGAAGAGAUAAGUGCUGAAAGCAUCUAAGCACGAAACUUGCCCCGAGAUGAGUUCUCCCUGAGACUUUAAGUCUCCUGAAGGAACGUUAAAGACGAUGACGUUGAUAGGCCGGGUGUGUAAGCGCAGCGAUGCGUUGAGCUAACCGGUACUAAUGAACCGUGAGGCUUAACCUU